GGAAGCACCGACUCAUUUCUCAACCAAUGAAUGAACCACGACAGCCCGGAUGUCACCUGACUCAGUCAUAAUUCACUGCUUGAACGGCGUUUGACCCUCGCGGUGUGGUCUUGGCGGGAUGACGAGUCCUCCGUCACACCCACGUACGUCCCGCCCUAAGAGGACACCACCACACGGAACAACAGCACGUCACCGAGACCAGAUGUUGGCGCCAACGUCAUGAAACCUUCAUGUAGGAAACAUUGCUCACUUUCCCCGCACAUCAUCCUCCCUGCUAAUGACCAAAGGACUGGUGUGGCCCUCGGGGGUCAGGGGGACUCCCAUUGUGUGUGUGUGAAGACUUCCAGAUGGAUGCCAUCUUGGGAAGGCCUCACCUGUCAGCUGCAGGUCUAACUGACUCCCCUCCUUCUACAUGACUUUGUGCAGCGUCCUUCAAGAACAUUUCCCAUCUUCUUGGACUUCAAGAAGGUCUUACAUGUCCUCGCCUCUCUUCUAGUCCCUCAUCCCUGUAGACACUUCAUGUCUCCACUUGGAAAGCACUGAGUCCAAAAAUCAAAGCCUUCAUUUGAUUCAGUGGCCUAGUGGUUAGAGUGUCCGCCCUGAGAUGGGGAGGUCGUGAGUUCGAACCCCGGCCGAGUCAUACCAAAGACUAUAAAAAUGGGAGCCAUUACCUCCCUGCUUGGCACUCAGCAUCAAGGCUGGGAAUUGGGGGUUAAAUCACCAAAAUGAUUCCCGGGCGUGGCCACCGCUGCUGCUCAGUGCUCCCCUCACCUCCCAGGGGGUGAUCAAGGGUGAUGGGUCAAAUGCAGAGAAUAAUUUCACCACACCUAGUGUGUGUGUGUGUGUGUGUGACUAUCAGUGGUACUUUAACUUUAAUUAUAGCAUUUUCUUUUUGUAGAAUUGCCACUUUUUUUUUUAACAAGACUUUUGUUUCACAGUAAAAUGAUCUAAAACCUUGUAACAUUUACAAUUUUUACUUAUUUUUUUAACUUGUUUUUCUUGUAAAAUUGUGUCUUUUCUGUGUAAUAUUUAUGCCUUAUCACAUUCUUCUCACAAAGUUACAACUGUUUUCAUGAUUUUUUAGCACUUUUUUUUUCCUCCGGUAAAAUUAUGACUUUUUUUCGGGCAUAAUUGCAACUUUUUAUUGUAAAGUUAUGACUUUUUAUCGUUGCAAAGUUGGGUCGUCUUUUUUUGUCAAAUGAUGACUUUUUCUAUUGUGACUUUGUCCUCUUAAUACUUUGUUUUAAUCAUAGCAUUUUAUUUUUGUAGAAUUGCCACUUUUUGUUGUAAUUAGACUUUUGUUUCAUAUUAAUAUGAUUUAAAACCUUGUAACAUUUAGAAUUUUUACUCUUUUUUUUUUUUUAAAUGUUUGACUUUUUUUUCUUGUAAA
Long non-coding RNA from Entelurus aequoreus (snake pipefish), 1390 nucleotides. RefSeq lists it as uncharacterized. The record is from RefSeq and is a predicted model, not a curated record. The transcript is spliced from 3 exons. NCBI's taxonomy places the organism in Eukaryota, Metazoa, Chordata, Actinopteri, Syngnathiformes, Syngnathidae.